CCUUCGCCAUAACCUAAUAAGCAGUGGUUUGUAAGUUUGAUUUCAAAGCUGCAAAGCUCGAAUCAAUAGAGCUUUGUAGAAGUGUCAAGGAUAGAUUAUAAAGAUUCUUCUUUCUUCAACUCUUUUGUCCUUAUAUGUUGUGUGUUCUUCCUGAAUCGGGCAGAUAUGCACUUGUUCUUCUUCUUGUCUUCGCCACCGGCAAAUAGCGUAAAUCGCGAGACAGACAUUCUCCCGCGAAGAAAGAGAGCCAAGAAGACCACUAAAGCACUAAGUGGUAUGAAGAUUUGAGAUUGUUCUAAUGGCGUCUAGGGAAGGAAAGAGGCGUACUCAUCAACAUCAUGAGAAUCUUGUGCCUGUUGCUGCUCUGUUAAGCAGAGAGACGAGAGCUGCUAAGAUGGAGAAACCGGUUGUUAGAUACGGGAAGCUGUUCAAUCUAGGAAAGGCGAAGAUUAUCUUUUGAUCAAGACUGAUACUCCAUAUCGAGUUUGUUUAAGAUGGAUAUGAGUCCUUCUUUGUAUCAGACUGAGUGGUGAGUAAACUCGAGUUCUUAUCACUAAUUUAUCAAUUUAAAGUUUUGUUCUUAAUUA
Long non-coding RNA from Brassica oleracea var. oleracea, 587 nucleotides. RefSeq lists it as uncharacterized. The transcript has 2 exons. NCBI's taxonomy places the organism in Eukaryota, Viridiplantae, Streptophyta, Magnoliopsida, Brassicales, Brassicaceae. The record is from RefSeq and is a predicted model, not a curated record.